This 468-nucleotide ribosomal RNA is filed under the name uncultured bacterium. RNAcentral's name for it is "partial 16S ribosomal RNA". It matches the Rfam family "Bacterial small subunit ribosomal RNA", at positions 28 to 507 of the family's 1533-position model. The record is from RNAcentral.
GACGAACGCUGGCGGCGUGCUUAACACAUGCAAGUCGAACGGAAAGGCCCUGCUUUUGUGGGGUGCUCGAGUGGCGAACGGGUGAGUAACACGUGAGUAACCUGUCCUUGCCUUUGGGAUAACUUCAUGAAACUGGGGCUAAUACCGGCUAGGAGCUCCUGCUGCAUGGUGGGGGUUGGAUAGUUUCGGCGGUUGGGGAUGGACUGGCGGCUUAUCGGCUUGUUGGGGGGGUAGGGGCUUACCAAGGCUUUGACGGGUAGCCGGCCUGGGCGGGGGACAGGCCACAUUGGGACGGAGAUACGGCACAGCCUCGUACGGGAGGGAGCGGUGGGGAAUAUUGUACAAGGGGCGGAAGCCUGAUGUAGCACCGCCGCGUGGGGGAUGACGGCAUGCGGGUUGUGAACCGCUUUCGCCUGUGACGAAGCGUGAGUGACGGUAAUGGGAAAAGAAGCACCGGCUAACUACGUG